AACUGCUCGGUGUGGUGUUUAUUCUAGGGCUGCUGGAUAAAUGCAAUGUUGGAGGCCCGGUGGAAAAAGCUACUCUCAGUCACAAAAAAGACAAGCAGAACAUCCAGCUGACUCCUGUUAGCCUCAGCGUUUGCUGUAACUGUAAUGUUAUACAGCAAAUGCCAUGAUCUAACAAGAACCUGGAACUCUGUCUGGCUCUAUCAGCACAUUCCAGAGUGUGCAUCUGUUUCCUGUCAGCAGUGAAGCAACACUACAGUCUCUUCUUUCUCAGGCCUCAACAUGUCACACUCUCUCCCUGUAGGCCAGUGAACUGCUUAUCUUCAGGAUAAACCAUAAGUAAAUGUCAAAGGUAAAUAAGGCUUAUUGC
Molecule: long non-coding RNA, 367 nt
Organism: Hemibagrus wyckioides
Lineage: Eukaryota; Metazoa; Chordata; Actinopteri; Siluriformes; Bagridae
Exons: 3
Source: RefSeq, a predicted model, not a curated record